AUACAGAGGGUGCGAGCGUUAAUCGGAAUUACUGGGCGUAAAGCGCGCGUAGGCGGUCUAUUAAGUCAGAUGUGAAAUCUCAGGGCUCAACCUUGGAACUGCAUCUGAUACUGGUAGACUAGAGUUUUGGAGAGGGAAGUAGAAUUUCAGGUGUAGCGGUGAAAUGCAUAGAGAUCUGAAGGAAUACCAGUGGCGAAGGCGACUUCCUGGCCAAAAACUGACGCUGAGGUGCGAAAGCGUGGGUAGCAAACGGGAUUAGAAACCCCUGUAGUCC
Molecule: ribosomal RNA, 274 nt
Filed under: uncultured bacterium
Lineage: Bacteria
Description: partial 16S ribosomal RNA
Rfam family: Bacterial small subunit ribosomal RNA
Source: RNAcentral